RNAcentral lists this long non-coding RNA (209 nucleotides) under Ornithorhynchus anatinus (platypus). RNAcentral describes it as "lncRNA (ENSOANG00000049620.1)". Lineage: Eukaryota; Metazoa; Chordata; Mammalia; Monotremata; Ornithorhynchidae. The record is from RNAcentral.
AAUACAUUCCCAGAAAGGUAAGCCGCGCCUUGCUUUCUUCCCGUAAAUCAACACGGCGAGGCGCAUUUGUGUAAUGGGUUCUCUCCUUGACUAAUUUAAUCGGGUACCAGAGAACUGAGAGUGACCCUCAGCACUUCCUUACCUCUGCAACAAGGCAGUAAAGAAAGAUGCCACUGCUCUCUAUCCAUAGCAUGCAAGCCAGGACUCCG